GUAACGCGUGAGAAUCUGGCUUAAGGACGGGGACAACCACUGGAAACGGUGGCUAAGACCCGAUAUGCCGAGAGGUGAAAGUAUUUUUAGCCUUAAGGGGAGCUCGCGUCUGAUUAGCUAGUUGGUGGGGUAAGAGCCUACCAAGGCGACGAUCAGUAGCUGGUCUGAGAGGAUGAUCAGCCACACUGGGACUGAGACACGGCCCAGACUCCUACGGGAGGCAGCAGUGGGGAAUUUUCCGCAAUGGGCGAAAGCCUGACGGAGCAAUACCGCGUGGGGGAGGAAGGCUCUUGGGUUGUAAACUCCUUUUCUCAGGGAAGAAAAAAAUGACGGUACCUGAGGAAUCAGCAUCGGCUAACUCCGUGCCAGCAGCCGCGGUAAUACGGAGGAUGCAAGCGUUAUCCGGAAUCAUUGGGCGUAAAGCGUCCGCAGGUGGCACUUCAAGUCUGCUGUCAAAGGUCGGGGCUUAACUCCGAACAGGCAGUGGAAACUGAAGCGCUCGAGUGCGGUAGGGGCAGAGGGAAUUCCUGGUGUAGCGGUGAAAUGCGUAGAGAUCAGGAAGAACACCGGUGGCGAAAGCGCUCUGCUAGGCCGCAACUGACACUCAGGGACAAAAGCUAGGGGAGCGAAUGGGAUUAUUACCCCCAGAUAGUCACGCGUUC
This 662-nucleotide ribosomal RNA is filed under the name Gloeocapsa gelatinosa PUPCCC 009.2. RNAcentral describes it as "bacterial SSU rRNA". It matches the Rfam family "Bacterial small subunit ribosomal RNA", at positions 110 to 804 of the family's 1533-position model. Lineage: Bacteria; Bacillati; Cyanobacteriota; Cyanophyceae; Chroococcidiopsidales; Chroococcidiopsidaceae. The record is from RNAcentral.